Long non-coding RNA from Thalassophryne amazonica, 142 nucleotides. RefSeq lists it as uncharacterized. Lineage: Eukaryota; Metazoa; Chordata; Actinopteri; Batrachoidiformes; Batrachoididae. The transcript has 3 exons. The record is from RefSeq and is a predicted model, not a curated record.
AAUGAUUUCAAAUUAUUUAAAAUUGCAAACAAAUCUAGAAAGAUGUGGAAGUAAAUGGAAAACCACCAUUUAAAUGGAUCAAAGAAUAGCUAGAAUGGCAAAGACUCAGCCAGUGAUCAGCUCCAGGUUUCCUUAUUCCAAA